ACUUAUUUGUAAAUCUUACUUUGCUGAACAUUAUUGCUGUUUAUAGUUUAUCUCUAUCUAUAAUAAUAUUCAAGAUAAUAAUCAAAAAGAGCAAAAUUUCCUUAAAAUUACUAAUUCAGGGCCAGCAACCCAACAACGAGUUGUCCGAUUCAUCUGAAAAUUUCAGGGCAGAUAGAUCUUGAACUGAUAAACAAUUUUACCCCAUGUCAGAUUUGCUCUAAAUGCUUUGGGUUUUGAGUUAUAAGCCAAAAACUGCAUUUUACCCCAUGUUCUAUUUUUAGCCAUGGCGGCCAUCUUGGUUUGAUGGCCGGGUCACCGGACACAUUUUUCAAACUACUAACCCAAAAGAUGAUUGUGGCCAAGUUUGGAUUAAUUUGGCCAAGUAGUUUUAGAGGAGAAGAUUUU
This 405-nucleotide long non-coding RNA is filed under the name Mytilus galloprovincialis (Mediterranean mussel). The record is from RNAcentral. Lineage: Eukaryota; Metazoa; Mollusca; Bivalvia; Mytilida; Mytilidae.